This 134-nucleotide unclassified non-coding RNA is filed under the name uncultured fungus. Its description in RNAcentral is "sequence contains ITS1". The record is from RNAcentral. Lineage: Eukaryota; Fungi.
AUCUUUAAUUUUAUCAUUAAUACAUAAAUUUUAUACAUUCAAGAGUGGGUUUUAAAUAUAAACGAUCGCGAAACCUCGCUAACGCUUGGUUCGCUAAAUCAAUAAUGAUCCUUCCGCAGGUUCACCUACGGAAA